AUGGAAAAGUCUUUGCAGAAGAAAGAUAUCACUACGCUUGCAGGAAUCAGGGGUGCCAACUCAUUUGCAAUCUUGAAGGCCGUCGCAAGGGUGCUGGAGGCAGCGGGAUCUUCGAUAUCAAAGAAUUUCAUUCCUUCCACAAAAUCCAGAUGUCUCUACCUAUGUUGUAAGGAUAUUACUAGCGGCCAAACAAACACGGAAAGAGUCGUGGCGUUAGAGAGGGGGCAUAGCAGUGAAAAUUGUGAUGGGAUGGAUCAUAGUAAUUUGUUGGGAAUUAUGGAUGGGAGGCAUAUGGAAACACAUCUUCUCCAAAAAUCAUAUACCCCCUCCAUCCAGCUUAAUUCAUCUACUACUCCUUUUUGGUGUUGUCAUCUGGGGACAAGACGUGGAAAAUGUGUUGAGCUCUCCAAGUUCUCCGCUGGCUGUGUAGUGGAGGGCAGUAGCAAGUUGUUCCUGCCAAGAGAUCAUCUAGAGAGAGAGUUUAUAGUUCACCAUGAUCUCUCUGAUUGGUUCCGCUGGUUGAGGAUGCACAAAUCCGCUACUCAUUCCUUUCCUCUCUCUCCAUCUGGAUGUAAUGAGUCGUCGGUCAUCAUGAGUGAGGUGACAGAAUAUGAGAGGAAAAAGAAUGUCCAAGAUACUGCUAGUGCAGAUGAUAAGAGGGAUAUGUUCAUGCAGAUAAUACAAAUGACUUUUAUGUCUCACGAUGCUGCUUUUGAUUUCUACAACAGCUAUGCUAGAAAUAAUUGUUUCAGCAUUAGAAAGGGCAAGGUCGGGUAUAGCAAAACCGAGUCACAUCAUAUGCGUUAUAGGCGGUUUGUUUGUUCCAGACAAGGAAAACGUGACAGCAGGUUGCUAACCGAGGAAGGACACAACCGUAGGCUCAGACCCCAGACACACUGCCACUGCGAAGCGCACCUGAUCGUGAAGCUUGAACAAACGCGUGGGAUUUGGUAUGUUGAAAGUUUUGAGGACAAGCAUAGCCAGAUCUUGGCAGGACCGGACGAGGUACCUUUUCUUUGGUCCCACAGAAAAAUCAAAGAGUACCAGAAAGCUGAGAUAAUGUCCAUGGGAGCUGCAGGGAUUAGAAUUCACGACAUGAUGGAUUCCUUCAUCAGCAAACAUGUAUGGGAGAAGAGGAAGCUGCUUUCAAAAGGUGAUGCUGCCACAGCCAUAAGCAUCAUGGUCAGUAGGAAACAAAGGGAUCCUAGCUUCUUUUUCAAGUACAAGCUAGAUAAGGAAGGACAUAUGAAUAGGAUGUUCUGGUGUGACUCCCAGUCUUGUCAUGACUAUGAGGACUUCGGCGACGUUCUUGUAUUUGACAGCACGUACAAGAUGAACCGGUAUGGUAUGCCAUUCAUACCAUUUGUUGGUCUUAACAAUCACCGGAAGACCACUGUUUUUGCUUGUGCCAUAGUUUCCAACGAGACCGAAGAGACAUAUGUGUGGCUGUUGCAGACUUUUUUGAGGUCCAUUUGUCAAAAGAUGCCGAAGAGUGUUAUCACGGACGCCGACGAUGCGAUGAUCAAGGCAAUGCGCUAA
This 1539-nucleotide ribosomal RNA is filed under the name Triticum aestivum (bread wheat). Its description in RNAcentral is "partial small subunit ribosomal RNA". The record is from RNAcentral. Lineage: Eukaryota; Viridiplantae; Streptophyta; Magnoliopsida; Poales; Poaceae.